RNAcentral lists this transfer RNA (74 nucleotides) under Cordylochernes scorpioides. RNAcentral describes it as "tRNA-Thr". Lineage: Eukaryota; Metazoa; Arthropoda; Arachnida; Pseudoscorpiones; Chernetidae. The record is from RNAcentral.
CGGAAAAAUCAGCCUUAGUGGACAUGGCAUCUGCCCGGUAAGCGGAACACUGUGGGUUCGAUUCCCAUUCCUGG